Molecule: ribosomal RNA, 200 nt
Filed under: uncultured bacterium
Lineage: Bacteria
Description: partial 16S ribosomal RNA
Rfam family: Bacterial small subunit ribosomal RNA
Source: RNAcentral
AGCGAACGCUGGCGGCAGGCCUAACACAUGCAAGUCGAACGGACCCUUCGGGGUUAGUGGCGGACGGGUGAGUAACACGUGGGAACGUGCUUUUAGGUUCGGAAUAGCUCCUGGAAACGGGUGGUAAUGCCGAAUGUGCCCUUCGGGGGAAAGAUUUAUCGCCUUUAGAGCGGCCCGCGUCUGAUUAGCUUGUUGGCGAG